GAUGAAGAACGUAGUGAAAUGCGAAAAGUAGUGUGAAUUGCAGAAUUCAGUGAAUCAUCGAAUCUUUGAACGCACAUUGCGCCCGCCAGUAUUCUGGCGGGCAUGCCUGUUCGAGCGUCAUUACAACCCUCAGGCCCCCGGGCCUGGCGUUGGGGAUCGGCGGAAGCCCCCUGCGGGCACAACGCCGUCCCCCAAAUACAGUGGCGGUCCCGCCGCAGCUUCCAUUGCGUAGUAGCUAACACCUCGCAACUGGAGAGCGGCGCGGCCACGCCGUAAAACACCCAACUUCUGAAUGUUGACCUCGAAUCAGGUAGGAAUACCCGCUGAACUUAAGCAUAUCAAUAAGCGGAGGA
This 353-nucleotide unclassified non-coding RNA is filed under the name soil metagenome. RNAcentral's name for it is "partial contains 5.8S ribosomal RNA, internal transcribed spacer 2, and large subunit ribosomal RNA". The stretch from base 1 to 120 matches the Rfam family "5.8S ribosomal RNA", at positions 35 to 154 of the family's 154-position model. The record is from RNAcentral.